GAUGAACGCUGGCGGCGUGCUUAACACAUGCCAGUCGAACGAUGAAGCCCAGCUUGCUGGGUGGAUUAGUGGCGAACGGGUGAGUAACACGUGAGUAACCUGCCCUUGACUCUGGGAUAAGCCUGGGAAACUGGGUCUAAUACUGGAUAUGACUUCUCAUCGCAUGGUGGGGGGUGGAAAGAUUUAUUGGUCUUGGAUGGACUCGCGGCCUAUCAGCUUGUUGGUGAGGUAAUGGCUCACCAAGGCGACGACGGGUAGCCGGCCUGAGAGGGUGACCGGCCACACUGGGACUGAGACACGGCCCAGACUCCUACGGGAGGCAGCAGUGGGGAAUAUUGCACAAUGGGCGCAAGCCUGAUGCAGCGACGCCGCGUGAGGGAUGACGGCCUUCGGGUUGUAAACCUCUUUCAGCAGGGAAGAAGCGAGAGUGACGGUACCUGCAGAAGAAGCGCCGGCUAACUACGUG
This 466-nucleotide ribosomal RNA is filed under the name uncultured bacterium. RNAcentral describes it as "partial 16S ribosomal RNA". It matches the Rfam family "Bacterial small subunit ribosomal RNA", at positions 28 to 507 of the family's 1533-position model. The record is from RNAcentral.